AGUGAACGCUGGCGGUAGGCCUAACACAUGCAAGUCGAACGGCAGCACAGUAAGAGCUUGCUCUUACGGGUGGCGAGUGGCGGACGGGUGAGGAAUACAUCGGAAUCUACUUUUUCGUGGGGGAUAACGUAGGGAAACUUACGCUAAUACCGCAUACGACCUACGGGUGAAAGCAGGGGAUCUUCGGACCUUGCGCGAUUGAAUGAGCCGAUGUCGGAUUAGCUAGUUGGCGGGGUAAAGGCCCACCAAGGCGACGAUCCGUAGCUGGUCUGAGAGGAUGAUCAGCCACACUGGAACUGAGACACGGUCCAGACUCCUACGGGAGGCAGAAGUGGGGAAUAUUGGACAAUGGGCGCAAGCCUGAUCCAGCCAUACCGCGUGGGUGAAGAAGGCCUUCGGGUUUUAAAGCCCUUUUGUUGGGAAAGAAAAGCAGCAGGUUAAUACCCCGCUGUUCUGGCGGUACCCAAAGAAUAAGCACCGGCUAACUUCGUG
RNAcentral lists this ribosomal RNA (492 nucleotides) under uncultured bacterium. RNAcentral's name for it is "partial 16S ribosomal RNA". It matches the Rfam family "Bacterial small subunit ribosomal RNA", at positions 29 to 507 of the family's 1533-position model. The record is from RNAcentral.